CGGUGGAGCAUGUGGUUUAAUUCGAUGCAACGCGAAGAACCUUACCUGGGCUUGACAUCCCGGGAAUCCCCUUGGAAACAAGGGAGUGCCCUUCGGGGAACCUGGAGACAGGUGCUGCAUGGCUGUCGUCAGCUCGUGCCGUGAGGUGUUGGGUUAAGUCCCGCAACGAGCGCAACCCUCGUCCCAUGUUGAUUUCUCAUGGGAUACUGCCCUGUACAGCAGGGAGGAAGGUGGGGAUGACGUCAAGUCAGCAUGGCCUUUAUGCCCUGGGCCACACACACGCUACAAUGGGUGGUACAGAGGGUUGCCACGGAGCAAUCCGGAGCUAAUCCCUUAAAACCAUCCUCAGUUCGGAUUGCAGGCUGCAAUCGCCUGCAUGAAGCCGGAGCUGCUAGUAACCGCAGGUCAGCUAUACUGCGGUGAAUACGUUCUCGGGCCUU
This 440-nucleotide ribosomal RNA is filed under the name uncultured Desulfobacteraceae bacterium. RNAcentral describes it as "bacterial SSU rRNA". It matches the Rfam family "Bacterial small subunit ribosomal RNA", at positions 930 to 1382 of the family's 1533-position model. Lineage: Bacteria; Pseudomonadati; Thermodesulfobacteriota; Desulfobacteria; Desulfobacterales; Desulfobacteraceae. The record is from RNAcentral.